UACAGAGGGGGCAAGCGUUGUUCGGAAUUACUGGGCGUAAAGGGCGCGUAGGUGGCCUUCUAAGUUGAACGUGAAAUCCCUGGGCUCAACCCAGGAACUGCGUCCAAGACUGGGAGGCUUGAAUCCGGGAGAGGGAUGCGGAAUUCCAGGUGUAGCGGUGAAAUGCGUAGAUAUCUGGAGGAACACCGGUGGCGAAAGCGGCUCACUGGACCGUGUCUGACGCUGAGGUGCGAAAGCUAGGGUAGCGAACGGG
Molecule: ribosomal RNA, 253 nt
Filed under: uncultured bacterium
Lineage: Bacteria
Description: partial 16S ribosomal RNA
Rfam family: Bacterial small subunit ribosomal RNA
Source: RNAcentral